CCAAUAGCGUAUAUUAAAGUUGUUGCAGUUAAGAAGCUCGUAGUUGAAUUUCGGGAUCAAUACGUCGGUCGUGCUUUCGGGUACGUACUGGCGUCAUUGGUUUCUCCUUUCUGACGAACCAUGAUGUCAUUAAUUUGGUGUUAUGGGGAGUUAGGACUGUUACUUUGAAACAAUUGGAGUGUUUAAAGCAGGCAUUAGCUUGAAUACAUUAGCAUGGAAUAAUGAAAUAGGACGUUCGAUCCUAUUUUGUUGGUUUCUAGGAUCAACGUAAUGAUUAAUAGUGAUAGUUGGUGGCAUUAGUAUUCAAUUGUCAGAGGUGAAAUGCUUGGAUUUAUUGAAGACUAACUACUGCGAAAGCAGUUGCCAAGGAUGUUUUCAUUAAUCAAGAACGAAAGUUAGGGGAUCGAAGACGAUCAGAUACCGUCGUAGUCUUAACCAUAAACUAUGCCGACUAGGGAUCGGAUGAUGUUAAUUUUUUAAUGACUCAUUCGGCGCCUUACG
RNAcentral lists this ribosomal RNA (501 nucleotides) under uncultured Glomeromycotina. RNAcentral's name for it is "partial small subunit ribosomal RNA". It matches the Rfam family "Eukaryotic small subunit ribosomal RNA", at positions 591 to 1092 of the family's 1831-position model. The record is from RNAcentral. Lineage: Eukaryota; Fungi; Glomeromycota.